UACGAAGGGUGCAAACGUUGCUCGGAAUUAUUGGGCGUAAAGCGCACGUAGGCGGCUUAGCAAGUUGGAUGUGAAAGCCCUCGGCUUAACCAAGGAAGUGCAUCCAAAACUGCUGAGCUUGAGUAGUUAAGAGGAUCGCGGAAUUCCCGGUGUAGAGGUGAAAUUCGUAGAUAUCGGGAGGAACACCAGUGGCGAAGGCGGCGCGCUGGAUCUCUUCUGACGCUGAGGCGCGAAAGCCAGGGGAGCGAACGGG
RNAcentral lists this ribosomal RNA (253 nucleotides) under uncultured bacterium. RNAcentral's name for it is "partial 16S ribosomal RNA". It matches the Rfam family "Bacterial small subunit ribosomal RNA", at positions 524 to 776 of the family's 1533-position model. The record is from RNAcentral.